This 252-nucleotide ribosomal RNA is filed under the name uncultured bacterium. RNAcentral's name for it is "partial 16S ribosomal RNA". It matches the Rfam family "Bacterial small subunit ribosomal RNA", at positions 524 to 775 of the family's 1533-position model. The record is from RNAcentral.
UACGAAGGGGGCUAGCGUUGCUCGGAAUUACUGGGCGUAAAGCGCACGUAGGCGGCUUUCUAAGUCGGGGGUGAAAUCCUGGAGCUCAACUCCAGAACUGCCUUCGAUACUGGAGAGCUUGAGUCCGGGAGAGGUGGGUGGAACUGCGAGUGUAGAGGUGAAAUUCGCAGAUAUCAGGAGGAACACCUAUUGCGAAGGCAGCUCGCUGGGACGUAACUGACGCUGAGACGCGAAAGCGUGGGGAGCAACAGG